UCGUACAAGGUUUCCGUAGGUGAACCUGCGGAAGGAUCAUUGAAUUAUCAAACCCACACUGUGAACCCUGCCGUUCCACGCUUUUGCUUGGCAGCGCGGCGCCCUGCGCUGGCGGGCUCUGGGAUUGGCACCCCUACCGGGUGCCUUCCUGGGGUUAUCUGCCCAAUUGCGUGCUUUUUUUCCAACACACCCAGUGUAACCACUGAGUUGUGAGGUGGCUUGUCCACUCCACAGCCAAACCAACCUCUGAAGCAAAGGCAGCCACACGCUGGCUUGCCACAAACGAAAACAACUCUCAACAACGGAUAUCUUGGCUCUCGCAACGAUGAAGAACGCAGCGAAAUGCGAUACGUAGUGUGAAUUGCAGAAUUCCGUGAACCAUCGAAUCUUUGAACGCAUAUUGCGCUCGAGCCUUCGGGCAAGAGCAUGUCUGCCUCAGCGUCGGUUUAACCCCUCACACCCCUUUAUUUAUUUAAAGCGCCAGGCUGAAUUCAGCCUGCGGGUGUGGACUUGGCUUCCCCAGGCCUGGACCUCGUGUCUCAGGCCUGGGUUGGCUGAAGUGCAGAGGCUUGAGCAAGGACCCUGAAUGGGCAUCAACUGGAUAGGUAGCCUCGCUGCUCCGGCAGUGUUCUACACGAAGUUGUUGCUUGCGGACCUUGCUGGGGGCCAGCAGGAAGCGUGGGUAACACCACGCCACUUAAACUUUCGACCUGAGCUCAGGCAAGACUACGGACUGAACUUAAGCAUAUCAUAAGCCGGAAGAAA
Molecule: ribosomal RNA, 765 nt
Filed under: Sphaeropleales sp. LBA 52
Lineage: Eukaryota; Viridiplantae; Chlorophyta; Chlorophyceae; Sphaeropleales
Description: eukaryotic LSU rRNA
Rfam family: 5.8S ribosomal RNA (bases 291-444)
Source: RNAcentral